Long non-coding RNA from Alosa sapidissima (American shad), 99 nucleotides. RefSeq lists it as uncharacterized. The transcript is spliced from 3 exons. Lineage: Eukaryota; Metazoa; Chordata; Actinopteri; Clupeiformes; Clupeidae. The record is from RefSeq and is a predicted model, not a curated record.
AACAAAUAGUCAAUAUGUGCUUACCCAGCACUGGCGGCAAAUUCAAACAGAAAGGCUAGCCUAGAGUUUGGUUAGGCUAUUUCACGUUACUUGGAUGUA